CAGCGUUUACCGGGGUGUCCUUUCAAAAAAGAAGGUCUGAGAUCAUACCCGUAGAACCUGAUCAGGGUAAUGCCUGCGCAGGGAGCUUAACAGUUUCAAGUU
This 102-nucleotide non-coding RNA is filed under the name Cnuella takakiae. RNAcentral describes it as "TPP sequence". It matches the Rfam family "TPP riboswitch aptamer (THI element)". Rfam says of the family: Vitamin B(1) in its active form thiamin pyrophosphate (TPP) is an essential coenzyme that is synthesised by coupling of pyrimidine and thiazole moieties in bacteria. The previously detected thiamin-regulatory element, thi box was extended, resulting in a new, highly conserved RNA secondary structure, the THI element, which is widely distributed in eubacteria and also occurs in some archaea. Analysis of operon structures identified a large number of new candidate thiamin-regulated genes, mostly transporters, in various prokaryotic organisms. The record is from Rfam by way of RNAcentral. Lineage: Bacteria; Pseudomonadati; Bacteroidota; Chitinophagia; Chitinophagales; Chitinophagaceae.